This 442-nucleotide ribosomal RNA is filed under the name uncultured Candidatus Nemicrothrix sp. Its description in RNAcentral is "bacterial SSU rRNA". It matches the Rfam family "Bacterial small subunit ribosomal RNA", at positions 338 to 795 of the family's 1533-position model. The record is from RNAcentral. Lineage: Bacteria; Bacillati; Actinomycetota; Acidimicrobiia; Acidimicrobiales; Microthrixaceae.
CCUACGGGUGGCUGCAGUGGGGAAUCUUGCGCAAUGGGCGAAAGCCUGACGCAGCAACGCCGCGUGCGGGAUGACGGCCUUCGUGGUUGUAAACCGCUUUCAGCAGGGACGAAAAUGACGGUACCUGCAGAAGAAGCCCCGGCUAACUACGUGCCAGCAGCCGCGGUAAUACGUAGGGGGCAAGCGUUGUCCGGAAUCAUUGGGCGUAAAGAGCUCGUAGGCGGUUCAGUAAGUCGGGUGUGAAAGCUCCGAGCUCAACUCGGAGAGGCCACUCGAUACUGCUGUGACUAGAAUCCAGUAGGGGAGUGUGGAAUUCCUGGUGUAGCGGUGAAAUGCGCAGAUAUCAGGAGGAACACCAGCGGCGAAGGCGGCACUCUGGGCUGGUAUUGACGCUGAGGAGCGAAAGUGUGGGUAGCAAACAGGAUUAGAUACCCCAGUAGUC